This 466-nucleotide ribosomal RNA is filed under the name uncultured bacterium. RNAcentral's name for it is "partial 16S ribosomal RNA". It matches the Rfam family "Bacterial small subunit ribosomal RNA", at positions 30 to 507 of the family's 1533-position model. The record is from RNAcentral.
CGAACGCUGGCGGCGUGCUUAACACAUGCAAGUCGAACGGAAAGGCCCUGCUUUUGUGGGGUGCUCGAGUGGCGAACGGGUGAGUAACACGUGAGUAACCUGCCCUUGACUUUGGGAUAACUUCAGGAAACUGGGGCUAAUACCGGAUAGGAGCUCCUGCUGCAUGGUGGGGGUUGGAAAGUUUCGGCGGUUGGGGAUGGACUCGCGGCUUAUCAGCUUGUUGGUGGGGUAGUGGCUUACCAAGGCUUUGACGGGUAGCCGGCCUGAGAGGGUGACCGGCCACAUUGGGACUGAGAUACGGCCCAGACUCCUACGGGAGGCAGCAGUGGGGAAUAUUGCACAAUGGGCGGAAGCCUGAUGCAGCAACGCCGCGUGCGGGAUGACGGCCUUCGGGUUGUAAACCGCUUUCGCGUGUGACGAAGCGUGAGUGACGGUAAUGGGUAAAGAAGCACCGGCUAACUACGUG